UACGGGGGGGGCAAGCGUUGUUCGGAAUUACUGGGCGUAAAGGGCUCGUAGGUGGCCAACUAAGUCAGACGUGAAAUCCCUCGGCUUAACCGGGGAACUGCGUCUGAUACUGGAUGGCUUGAGUUUGGGAGAGGGACGCGGAAUUCCAGGUGUAGCGGUGAAAUGCGUAGAUAUCUGGAGGAACACCGGUGGCGAAGGCGCGUCCUGG
This 208-nucleotide ribosomal RNA is filed under the name uncultured bacterium. Its description in RNAcentral is "partial 16S ribosomal RNA". It matches the Rfam family "Bacterial small subunit ribosomal RNA", at positions 524 to 732 of the family's 1533-position model. The record is from RNAcentral.